Molecule: ribosomal RNA, 253 nt
Filed under: uncultured bacterium
Lineage: Bacteria
Description: partial 16S ribosomal RNA
Rfam family: Bacterial small subunit ribosomal RNA
Source: RNAcentral
UACGUAGGGGGCAAGCGUUAUCCGGAUUUACUGGGUGUAAAGGGAGCGUAGGCGGUGCAGCAAGUCAGAAGUGAAAGCCCGGGGCUCAACUCCGGGACUGCUUUUGAAACUGUUGAACUAGAUUGCAGGAGAGGUAAGUGGAAUUCCUAGUGUAGCGGUGAAAUGCGUAGAUAUUAGGAGGAACACCAGUGGCGAAGGCGGCUUACUGGACUGUAAAUGACGCUGAGGCGCGAAAGCGUGGGGAGCAAACAGG